This 92-nucleotide small RNA is filed under the name Citrobacter koseri. RNAcentral describes it as "partial RtT sRNA". It matches the Rfam family "RtT RNA", at positions 48 to 130 of the family's 130-position model. From Rfam's summary of the family: This family represents a bacterial cis-regulatory element known as RtT RNA. The exact function of RtT is unknown although it is thought that it may be involved in changing the cellular response in relation to amino acid starvation. Lineage: Bacteria; Pseudomonadati; Pseudomonadota; Gammaproteobacteria; Enterobacterales; Enterobacteriaceae. The record is from RNAcentral.
AUUGCACUCAGAUGUUAAACGUGAAGGAUAACGUUGCGUCAGCAACGGCCCGAAGGGCGAGGCGAAGCCGAGUCAUCCUGCACGACCCACCA